UCCAAACUAUGAAUACUUGGACUGGGAUACAAAACUCAAUCUUCCGAAGUCGGCAGAACACUUUGUUGCCUUCAUCAAGGAAGUGGAAGACGCUUCCAAAUCAUCUCGCCUCAAGGGACCGAUCCUGUUGCAUUGCCUGAACGGUGCUGGAAAGAGCGGCCUUUUUUGUGUUGUCUCGAUAUUACUCGAAAACUGAUUGAAGAUAAUGAAGUCAGUGUGGCCAAUGCGGUGAAGACUGUCAAAGCUAGAGGACCGCUCGCUAUUCCAAAUAAGGAGCAGUUUUACUUCUGCUACGAGUGUGUUCUCCAUUCCUUGAACGCAACUGAAAACGCUGCGUGAUACAAUAUAUGAGGGAAUGCUGCGUGAUACAACAUAUGAGGGAAUACUGCGUAAUACCAAAUAUGAGGGAAUACUGCGUGAUACAGCAUAAGAGGGAAUGCUGCGUAAUACAACAUAAGAGGGAAAGGUGCGUAAUACAACAUAUGAGGGAAUGCUGUGUGAUACAAUAUAAGAGAGAAUGAAGCCGGUUGUCCUAUUUAGAACAAUGACCUCCAUUUACAUUACCACAUGAAUACACAUUUGACAAGUAAAGUUACCAGAUUAUCUCAUUAAUUUCCAUAUGCGAUAUGUGGAAUGGAAAAAUUGUUAAAUGAAACACAAAUAUCACUUCUCCCUCAAACUCGCAAGACAUAUAUUUUACAGUGCAUUGAGGAAUCUGCGCAAAUUGAAACAGGAUUAUUUCCGUUAUUCUGUUUAUUAAUGCAACAUUAUAUAUUAUAUGACAUUGAAUUGCAUUGUAUGUGCUGAAAUUUUCUAAUCAUUCUUCAUUUUGACCUAAUUUAA
Long non-coding RNA from Mya arenaria, 843 nucleotides. RefSeq lists it as uncharacterized. NCBI's taxonomy places the organism in Eukaryota, Metazoa, Mollusca, Bivalvia, Myida, Myidae. The record is from RefSeq and is a predicted model, not a curated record. The transcript is spliced from 3 exons.